Molecule: long non-coding RNA, 343 nt
Organism: Mastomys coucha (southern multimammate mouse)
Lineage: Eukaryota; Metazoa; Chordata; Mammalia; Rodentia; Muridae
Exons: 2
Source: RefSeq, a predicted model, not a curated record
CCAUGCCCAACCAAAGAUGUUUAUGUUUUGUCUUGAAACAGGGCCUCAUGACUUAGCCCAGACCCACCUCCAAUUCGUGAUCCUCCUGCCUCAGCCUCACUGGGACUAUAGAUGUCAUGAGGGGGAUCAGUGCGGCUGUCAGGUCACAGAAUGGAACUUCAAAGACCCUGAAACAAGAGAAACCAUUUCUCUUGUUUUUCUCAAGUAUUUUUUCCUAGUGACGAAAAGCCGACUGGCAUCCACGGACCAUUUGCCAUGUUUGGGAUAUUUAUAAAAAUUAGUUCCCUGGCCUCCCUUUAGAACUAUGAAGACAGAAGCCUUGAGGCAAGGAACAGCCUUUAAA